UACGUAGGGAGCAAGCGUUGUCCGGAAUCAUUGGGCGUAAAGCGCGCGUAGGUGGCCCAGUAAGUCCGCUCUGAAAGUCAAAGGCUCAACCUUUGAAAGCGGGUGGAUACUGCUGGGCUAGAGUCCGGAAGAGGCGAGUGGAAUUCCUGGUGUAGCGGUGGAAUGCGCAGAUAUCAGGAGGAACACCAACGGCGAAGGCAGCUCGCUGGGACGGUACUGACACUGAGGCGCGAAAGCGUGGGGAGCGAACAGG
This 253-nucleotide ribosomal RNA is filed under the name uncultured bacterium. RNAcentral describes it as "partial 16S ribosomal RNA". It matches the Rfam family "Bacterial small subunit ribosomal RNA", at positions 524 to 776 of the family's 1533-position model. The record is from RNAcentral.